CAGCAGCCACGGUAAUACAGAGGGUGCGAGCGUUAAUCGGAAUUACUGGGCGUAAAGCGCGCGUAGACGGUUUUGUAAGUCAGAUGUGAAAUCCCUGGGCCCAACCUGGGAACUGCAUUUGAGACUGCAUGGCUAGAGUAUCGAAGAGGGAAGUGGAAUUUCCGGUGUAGCGGUGAAAUGCGUAGAUAUCGGAAGGAACACCAGUGGCGAAAGCGACUUCCUGGUCGAAUACUGACGUUCAUGUGCGAAAGCGUGGGGAGCAAACAGGAUUAGAUACCCCCGUAGUCCCUGUCUCUUAUAC
RNAcentral lists this ribosomal RNA (301 nucleotides) under uncultured bacterium. RNAcentral's name for it is "partial 16S ribosomal RNA". It matches the Rfam family "Bacterial small subunit ribosomal RNA", at positions 509 to 807 of the family's 1533-position model. The record is from RNAcentral.